GCUGUCCCUGGGGUCCGAAGUGUCCAGGACGUCGCUCUCCUCGCCCGGAUCGUCCAUGUCGUAGGACAGCAUGCCGCCGUCCUGCUCCUGCGGCGUGGCCGUGUUCCUGCUCUCCAGACCCCCGCUGUUGUCCACGAACUUUGCUGCUCUGAAGAGACAGCCGUCUUUAACAGGACAAAGAAGACACCGUGGACCUCUGGGAGGAGAUGCUGCAGAUCUCCAUGUUGGUAAAAGAGCUCCCACCUUCACUAGUGCAAUCUGGGAAUGGCGGAUCGGCGCACUCUGAGGGACGCUGAUAAGACCGCAUCCCCUGCGCCGGUUAUUGUCGUUAAUCCAGGACUGCAUGAAUUGGCAAAGCCCCGUCACACUGGGAUCUGCUGCUCGCCUGAGGAAAAGCAGAGCUCUGGGGAGUGGUUCCACCCAGUGGCGGCUGUCUCAAGGCUCACUGCCCCCAGUUUGAUUAAUGGAAACCCUCCCUGGCUCUGUGGCAUCCGAUGGAUCUCAUUACACCUCAGUGGGAGGGGCUGUACUACAGGUCUCCUGCAGUUUGGACUCAUUGCUAAUUGGAUAAGAACAGCACAAGCUCAGAUAAACAAACAACCCUUAUGUCAGAGCCUGAAGUGUGAUAUAUACACAGGCAUUUCCAUGCAAAGGCCAACCUAACCAGUUGAGAGCAUACACAUCCUGAUUUUUGCCAAGUUCAACAUGUCACUGGGUCAACAGAGGAGCUUGCCUGUCACUUUUUUAGCCAAUCACAGUCUUUAUUGUAUGACAUUAUCACCCUCCUUUGUAGGGGUAACUUGUUGGAGACCAGUGUUUUCUGUUAAGCAGCAUGGUGCACAGAUUUGUAAAGUACCCAUUUUAUUGUCUAUGUUUUCUGUUAAGGCACAUGUCAUACAUACAAAACAUAAGAACAUGCUUACCUGCAAAGGCUGGAUGGAGCAAUUUAUUUCAUGAUUAUGAUAAAAAGAAUAAGAAUUCUCAAACCAGCAACCUUCCAAUCAAAGGCACAGAGCUGCAGAGCGCUUCCUGAUCAAUGGCUAGAAGCUUUGAGUUUGAAAAUGAGGAAAAAAAUGGACCGAUGUGGUGAUGUCAUACAGUGAAGACUGUGAUUGGUUAAAGAAGUGAAACGCAAGCCCCACCCUUGUUGACCCAGGGACAUGUCAAUCUCAAGAUGUCCUUGUGAGCAUGUGAACAAAACUAUUUUUAAAAGGUUCACUUAUGUCUAUAUGUCUCGUUUCAUAAUUGAUUGGCCACUGAUGACUAUUUCAGUUGUUUCAUGUAAAAAAAAUAAUCAAGCAUGUGGUUUCUAUAAUCUGUGGACUGGUUCAGACAGCACAUCCAUAAUGCAAAAAAAAGUCAAAAAACCAUAAUGCCAUUUUUAUCCAAGAACAGCAAAUAUAUAAUUUUUUUGUUCACUGAA
This is a non-coding RNA of Paramormyrops kingsleyae, 1423 nucleotides long. NCBI's taxonomy places the organism in Eukaryota, Metazoa, Chordata, Actinopteri, Osteoglossiformes, Mormyridae. The record is from RefSeq and is a predicted model, not a curated record.